UGUUAAGGAAUAGAUUCUAUUAGCACCAGGCAUUCAGAUAGUUUGGUUCUCAAUAUAUUUCAAAUUUUAAUUUUGGAUGUAGAUAAAAAUAAAAAAUGACUUUUUUAAACUUGUAUCAUGCAUAAGAGCCCAACUAAGAAUUGAUACGUACACAGAAACACAAGAAAGAUCACUGAAGAUACUGCAUGACAUUUAGAGGUAGAACAAUAUUAUCCACUAGCAUUAGAAUGCUAUUUCAUCAUUAAGCCACUUAAACACCAAGGGAAGUGACUAGGAUAGACCAGUUCCAAUCCUCCAUUACUAGGCGCCCCUUGAAUUAGUAAGAAAAAUUAGCACAUGAAUCAUGGAUCAUGCAAUUGAAGGUAUUUUUUCAUAUAUUCAAAGGUGUUA
This 390-nucleotide unclassified non-coding RNA is filed under the name Hevea brasiliensis (rubber tree). Lineage: Eukaryota; Viridiplantae; Streptophyta; Magnoliopsida; Malpighiales; Euphorbiaceae. The record is from RNAcentral.